UCAAUUAUGUUCAUGUAGUGUUUAACCAAGAGCUGAGAGAGAAGCCUUGGAACAGAGAAAGAUGCUAUUAGCAAAAAGAGUCUUUUGGAUUUAAUUCUCCUCUGCUUUACCUUGAGGUCCCUCUGCCAUUGCUCAUCUGCUUAUGUACUACUACAAUUGCUCGUCAUCAUUUCCUUACAAUUAUAACAGUAGAGGAGGGACUCUAGCAUGCUGAUCAACUUUUCGGUUUGUAAACUCAGAUCGAAUCAAAGCUGGACAAUGAUCCUGAAGCCCUACAAGGCUACAAGCAACAUUCUAUUUCAGGAAUGGGGAAGAAUCUAAUGGCAUGUCCUUUAUUGUUGUUGUUUUCCAUAAAUAGAAAAAGGAAUACCUGCUUUUUCAUUGCUUAUACAACGAGCAAGUCUUUUUGAUUGUGAAGGUCACUAUCAAGGGCAUAUUUAAUUGACAUUCAUGACAAG
This is a long non-coding RNA of Rosa rugosa (rugosa rose), 458 nucleotides long. RefSeq lists it as uncharacterized. Lineage: Eukaryota; Viridiplantae; Streptophyta; Magnoliopsida; Rosales; Rosaceae. The transcript is spliced from 3 exons. The record is from RefSeq and is a predicted model, not a curated record.